GCCCUUAUAGCUCAGUUGGUAGAGCACCUGAUUUGUAAUCAGGGGGUCGCGCGUUCGAGUCGUGCUGGGGGCA
Molecule: transfer RNA, 73 nt
Filed under: Rhizobium sp. Root482
Lineage: Bacteria; Pseudomonadati; Pseudomonadota; Alphaproteobacteria; Hyphomicrobiales; Rhizobiaceae
Also listed under: 1 other name
Rfam family: tRNA
About the family: Transfer RNA (tRNA) molecules are approximately 80 nucleotides in length. Their secondary structure includes four short double-helical elements and three loops (D, anti-codon, and T loops).
Source: Rfam by way of RNAcentral